RNAcentral lists this ribosomal RNA (253 nucleotides) under uncultured bacterium. RNAcentral describes it as "partial 16S ribosomal RNA". It matches the Rfam family "Bacterial small subunit ribosomal RNA", at positions 524 to 776 of the family's 1533-position model. The record is from RNAcentral.
UACGGGGGGGGCAAGCGUUGUUCGGAAUUACUGGGCGUAAAGGGCUCGUAGGCGGCCAACUAAGUCACACGUGAAAUCCCCAGGCUUAACCUGGGAACUGCGUGUGAUACUGGAUGGCUUGAAUCCGGGAGAGGGAUGCGGAAUUCCAGGUGUAGCGGUGAAAUGCGUAGAUAUCUGGAGGAACACCGGUGGCGAAGGCGGCAUCCUGGACCGGUAUUGACGCUGAUGAGCGAAAGCCAGGGGAGCAAACGGG